Molecule: ribosomal RNA, 301 nt
Filed under: uncultured bacterium
Lineage: Bacteria
Description: partial 16S ribosomal RNA
Rfam family: Bacterial small subunit ribosomal RNA
Source: RNAcentral
CAGCCGCCGCGGUAAUACGUAGGGGGCAAGCGUUAUCCGGAAUUACUGGGUGUAAAGGGAGCGUAGACGGUUAAACAAGUCUGAAGUGAAAUGCCGGGGCUCAACCCCGGAGCUGCUUUGGGAACUGUAGAACUGGAGUGUCGGAGGGGUAAGCGGAAUUCCCGGUGUAGCGGUGAAAUGCGUAGAUAUUGGGAGGAACACCGGCGGCGAAGGCAGCUUACUGGACGACAACUGACGUUGAGGCUCGAAGGCGUGGGUAGCAAACAGGAUUAGAGACCCGCGUAGUCCCUGUCUCUUAUAC